UUACAACUUAAUACUCUAGUCGAAUAAUAAAAACAACUGUUUAAAAUUCAAAAAUUUUGGCAGUAUCUUAUUAAAUUAGGGGAACAUGUUACUUAAUACGAUAACCCACGCCUCAUCAUCCAUCUUUAGUAUAAAUCAGUCUGUAUACUGCUGUCGAAAAUAAACCUCUAAAAGAAAGUUUAUAACAAUAAUAAAUUUAUUUAUGUCAAGUCAAAGUGCAGCCCAUAAGAUGGGGUAAAUGUGUUACAAUCUACAUUUAAAGAAAUAGAUAAUAAAAUAAAAAUAUUAAUAAAGUGGACUUAAAAGUAAUGUGAAUUAUAAACAUAUGAAAAUUUUUCUAAGAUAUGCACAUAUCGCCCGUCACUCUCGUCCAAAGACU
This 379-nucleotide ribosomal RNA is filed under the name Achaeta bibulba. Its description in RNAcentral is "partial 12S ribosomal RNA". Lineage: Eukaryota; Metazoa; Annelida; Clitellata; Enchytraeida; Enchytraeidae. The record is from RNAcentral.